RNAcentral lists this transfer RNA (81 nucleotides) under Erinaceus europaeus (western European hedgehog). It matches the Rfam family "tRNA". From Rfam's summary of the family: Transfer RNA (tRNA) molecules are approximately 80 nucleotides in length. Their secondary structure includes four short double-helical elements and three loops (D, anti-codon, and T loops). Lineage: Eukaryota; Metazoa; Chordata; Mammalia; Eulipotyphla; Erinaceidae. The record is from Rfam by way of RNAcentral.
GUGUCUGUCGCCUAAUGGAUAAGGCAUCUGACUUCAGAUCAGAAGACAGAGAGGGAGAAGCCUGAGUACCACUCUGCUACA